This 1256-nucleotide ribosomal RNA is filed under the name metagenome. Its description in RNAcentral is "bacterial LSU rRNA". It matches the Rfam family "Bacterial large subunit ribosomal RNA", at positions 1677 to 2925 of the family's 2925-position model. The record is from RNAcentral.
UAUUCUAAGGCGCUUGAGAGAACUCAGGAGAAGGAACUCGGCAAAUUGACACCGUAACUUCGGAAGAAGGUGUGCCCUAUUAGUGUGUAGUGAACAACGAAGCAUGAAUGGGUUGCAAAAAAUCGGUGGCUGCGACUGUUUAUUAAAAACACAGCACUCUGCAAACACGAAAGUGGACGUAUAGGGUGUGACGCCUGCCCGGUGCUGGAAGAUUAAAUGAUGGGGUGCAAGCUCUUGAUUGAAGUCCCAGUAAACGGCGGCCGUAACAAUAACGGUCCUAAGGUAGCGAAAUUCCUUGUCGGGUAAGUUCCGACCUGCACGAAUGGCGUAACGAUGGCCACACUGUCUCCUCCUGAGACUCAGCGAAGUUGAAAUGUUUGUGAUGAUGCAAUCUCCCCGCGGAAAGACGGAAAGACCCCAUGAACCUUUACUGUAGCUUUGUAUUGGACUUUGAACAGAUCUGUGUAGGAUAGGUGGGAGGCUUUGAAGCAGGGUCGCUAGAUCUUGUGGAGCCAACGUUGAAAUACCACCCUGGUGUGUUUGAGGUUCUAACCUAGGUCCAUUAUCUGGAUCGGGGACAGUGCAUGGUAGGCAGUUUGACUGGGGCGGUCCCCUCCCAAAGCGUAACGGAGGAGUUCGAAGGUACGCUAGUUACGGUCGGACAUCGUGACGAUAGUGCAAUGGCAUAAGCGUGCUUAACUGCGAGACUGACAAGUCGAGCAGAUGCGAAAGCAGGACAUAGUGAUCCGGUGGUUCUGUAUGGAAGGGCCAUCGCUCAACGGAUAAAAGGUACUCUGGGGAUAACAGGCUGAUACCGCCCAAGAGUUCAUAUCGACGGCGGUGUUUGGCACCUCGAUGUCGGCUCAUCUCAUCCUGGGGCUGUAGCCGGUCCCAAGGGUAUGGCUGUUCGCCAUUUAAAGAGGUACGUGAGCUGGGUUUAAAACGUCGUGAGACAGUUUGGUCCCUAUCUUCCGUGGGCGCUGCAGAUUUGAGGAAGCCUGCUCCUAGUACGAGAGGACCGGAGUGGACACACCUCUGGUGUAUCGGUUGUCACGCCAGUGGCAUUGCCGAGUAGCUAAGUGUGGAAGAGAUAACCGCUGAAAGCAUCUAAGCGGGAAACUCGUUUCAAGAUGAGAUCUGCCGGGGCCUUGAGCCCCCUAAAGAGUCGUUCAAGACCAGGACGUUGAUAGGUCAGGUGUGGAAGCGCAGUAAUGCGUUAAGCUAACUGAUACUAAUUGCUCGUGCGGCUUGACCAA